Long non-coding RNA from Nothobranchius furzeri (turquoise killifish), 1939 nucleotides. NCBI's taxonomy places the organism in Eukaryota, Metazoa, Chordata, Actinopteri, Cyprinodontiformes, Nothobranchiidae. The record is from Ensembl.
CUGGUUGCAGUCUCCUUGGGGUUCCUGUGUUCUGGGGCAGCGCCUGGAUCUCUGGGACUUGGAGCUCCCCCCGUCUCCUGCGCAUCUUUGGGGGGCGGAUCUGUGGUCCCUCACACUCUCUGUUGGACGCUCCUAUAGAGAAACCUUACAUAAACAAGCGCGUGUACACACACAGGUGCUCACAUGGUGCUCUCAAAAGUAUGGGCUUGGGCGCGUUAAACACAGGUCUUAAGACUAUGGUGGGCACUUAAUGCACUGUGAUUUAUUAUCGUGAUUCUUCAGUUAAACAAUGUUGAUUAUAUAUUUCUUCAUCAAUUUGACGCUGUGAUAGCUUGAUCUGGUUGUAUUGUUGUUAUGUCCCAUUUUUUUUGUUCUUUUGCUUUUUUUGUCUUUUUCUGCAGGUCUAGAAGCAGACUCUUGUUCAUUAUUGUUUAUUUUUGUGGACCCCCCCACCCCCCACCUUUUGUCUUUUCCUUUCUCUUUCACCUCUGUCUCUGUGUCUGGUUGGAAUUACAAAGCAUUCAAAAACAAUAACAAUAAAGUUUUAAGUAUCAGGCGUGACGUUAAAAGCAGACGCUUUGAUGCUCCACCUGAGAGUAAAUCUGCUUGUCACCAGCAUUCAGACAUCAAUUCUGUUUGCUUCACAGCCAGACAGGACACGAAAAAAAAAAAACAAGCAGUACUACUGGUGAUUUUUGUAACCAAGAAAUCUCAGCUCCAGAUCUUUUCAUUCAUUCAACCAACAUGUUGUUUUCUGUGAAAAUGUAUUUAUUUUUAAAUCAGCAAUGAGAGAAGAAACAUAUCAAUGUUUAACUGUUUUAAACAAAACCAAUUGUCUGCAUGAAUAAUAUGAAAAACAUCCACCAGAGUGUAAUAAAUAGUUAAUAAAACUAAUGCAUAAAUAGCAAACACACCUGCAUGCUUAGUGUGCUUCAUGUUAAUCCGAAAAAAGGGAUGUUAGAGCAAACUAUUUACCAUUUCAAAGUAACUAUAGCUCUUCAAAAUGUUAGAAUUACUUUUCUCUUUGAACUAUUGUGUCAUAAAUUACUGAAAUCAAAUAUUUUGCAGUACAGCUUAAUCAGAACAUAUUUUUUAUGAGAAGUUUGAAAUUAUUUACUAGUUUGCUUACAUACAGGACUGAAUAUUAAGAAAUUGUGAGGAAUAAACAUCCUAACUGAUAUACAUGUACGUAACUCUCCAAAUAACUUCUAACUGGGGAGACAUGUUGUCAAGAUUUUUUUUCUCAAAUCAUUCAUACUGUCAUUGUCAUGGUGGGUGUCUGGAGCCCUAAUCGGGUUGGUUGCCCUGGUCCAAAAAGGAAGAAGUGAGAGAACUUUGGGAUGUCUUCUAACCCAACUGUGACUAACUGGAGACAAUAAUGUGAACCUCAAAUUCCAGGUGUAACUAAAACGUGAAUGAAAUUAAAAUGACUUACUAAGACUUGAGGCAUAAUCCAAUUCAUUGUUUUUUUUUAACAAGUUGUUAAGAAUAGCUCAGUUAGCUUUGGGUUCAACAAUUCCUUGACUAUCUUUCCCAAGUUGUACCAGUUGAAAGGUUUUAAAGGUGUGGAACUCUGAAAAAAACAUUUUUGAUAAUAUUUCUAAUAAUAACCAGUCAUACUGAGUUUUUCAUGCAGGCUGAGGAUGAAAGUUAUCUCCUACACACGUCUUGUGCAUUAGCUUCUGACAGUGAAGGAUUUGAAAAUCCUGACAGAUCUACGUCACAGUGUUACGUAACAUUCAUGGACUCAACCAUCUUGACUCACGGCAAGGAAGGCUGUUGUUGGCUUAACGUCCAGGAAACAGCAGAAAACAUCUCGGCUAGUAGAAGCUAACUGUAAACAUUAGCAUCCCCACCACACAGCAGAACUCCUUCAGGCUUGCGUUAUUUGUGGAGAUAAAACAUCAACGUUGCAAAGCAAAUGUAGAGUCUAAUUGCU